Molecule: long non-coding RNA, 627 nt
Filed under: Scleropages formosus (Asian bonytongue)
Lineage: Eukaryota; Metazoa; Chordata; Actinopteri; Osteoglossiformes; Osteoglossidae
Description: lncRNA (ENSSFOG00015028232.1)
Source: RNAcentral
AUGCAGUUCCCUGACUCUGUUCUCCCUUCGCAGAUAAUCAAAGAUGAGUUCAGCCACAUUGUGUCUCAUAGAAAGAAGCUCCAGCCGGGACAGGUUCCAGAGGUGGUUCCAAAACCAAGGGCCAGAGAGAAGUCUGCUCCUCGCACCAAAGCUGGGACCCCCAUGAGGAAAGAACCCCUCAGACAAGUGUGGAAACCUGCAGCCUGUGUCGCCCAACCGGAGUAUAAAAAUGUAGUUUACCCAAAAGCUGCGGCGAUGGAGAAGCUACCAGCCAGGAUCUGUGGUCCGAAUGACCUCGACCGGUCGAACGUUCACGUGGUCGGCGAGGACGAGCAGCAUCGCGAGCUCUACCAGCGCUACCACGCCCAGCUCGAUGCCAUCCAGCGCCGGCGUCAGGAGGAGAGCCCUCCUCCCCCCCACGGUGCAGGUCCAGGGAAGGCCAGGGGUCACCAUGGUGACCAGCCCAACAUCACAGAACCGUAUCAGCUGGUGGCGGCUGCUAGGGAAGAGUAUCUGCAGAGGAGGCAGGAGGCCAGACAGUACAAACUGAGGGCUGAGAAGCAGCUGGUGAGUCUUCCUCACGCUCGGCCUCCGUGGGAUUCGCCAAGCGGAGAGGCGCAGAACUGA